GACGAACGCUGGCGGCGUGCUUAACACAUGCAAGUCGAGCGCUGAAGCUUCUUCGGGGGUGGAUGAGCGGCGAACGGGUGAGUAACACGUGGGUGACCUGCCCUCAGCUCUGGGAUAAGCCUGGGAAACUGGGUCUAAUACCGGAUAUGACCUGCCAUCGCAUGGUGGUUGGUGGAAAGUUCCUGGCUUUUUGGUUGGGUUCGGUUGGGGAUGGGCCCGCGGCCUAUCAGCUGUUGGUGGGGUGAUGGCUUACCAAGGCGACGACGGUAGCCGGCCUGAGAGGGCGACCGGCCACACUGGGACUGAGACACGGCCCAGACUCCUACGGGAGGCAGCAGUGGGGAAUAUUGCGCAAUGGGGCGGAAGCCUGACGCAGCGACGCCGCGUGGGGGA
Molecule: ribosomal RNA, 393 nt
Filed under: uncultured bacterium
Lineage: Bacteria
Description: bacterial SSU rRNA
Rfam family: Bacterial small subunit ribosomal RNA
Source: RNAcentral